This 293-nucleotide long non-coding RNA is filed under the name Theobroma cacao (cacao). RNAcentral describes it as "long non-coding RNA (TCAC_LNC003713)". Lineage: Eukaryota; Viridiplantae; Streptophyta; Magnoliopsida; Malvales; Malvaceae. The record is from RNAcentral.
CUACUACAGCAAUGAGUGCUUCGACCGGUUUAGGCCAUGGUUUUAACAGCAGCCCCAUCUGGCUGAAAUGGCAACCUUCUCCUUGUCAGCGUUCCACCUUCCUUAUCCUACGCGCUGCUUCCUCUCCCAACACUGGCAAAGGCAACAAGAAAAAACCCAAAGCUAAAAAAACUUCUCCUACUCCAACUCCUAUAACUACAACAACAACAACUACUACUUCUACUGAAUCUAUUUCACAAGACCAACCGCAACAACAACAGCAGCAAGUUUCGUUAAGUUUGGAUGACGUCAAC